UUGCUUCGGCAGUACAUAAACUAAAAUUGGAACGAUACAGAGAAGAUUAGCAUGGCCCCUGCGCAAGGAUGACACGCAAAAUCGUGAAGCGUUCCACAUUUAA
RNAcentral lists this small nuclear RNA (103 nucleotides) under Eurytemora carolleeae. Lineage: Eukaryota; Metazoa; Arthropoda; Copepoda; Calanoida; Temoridae. The record is from RNAcentral.